Macaca mulatta (Rhesus monkey) is the source of this 1693-nucleotide non-coding RNA. NCBI's taxonomy places the organism in Eukaryota, Metazoa, Chordata, Mammalia, Primates, Cercopithecidae. The record is from RefSeq and is a predicted model, not a curated record.
CCCUUAGCCCAGAGCCCAGGGAAAAGCUGAGGGGAGGCCAGGGACCUCGCUGGGCUGGGCAGGUGCAGGCCACCCCCGUCCCAGUGCCCUCAGAGACACCUAGACUCAUGUGGACCCGGCCGUGGCCCCUUCUGGGCAGCGCCAUCCAGGCUGGCCCUGCCCUCUGACCUGGGGCCGCAGGGGCUGGCCACCGUGGGCUCGGUCCCCCGCCACCCUGAUUCAUCUGCACCCCAAGGAAAGAGAAUGCGGAGUUGCAGCGCCCCAGGACCCACGAGCCCCCGAACACCAGGGCAGCACAUACUUCCAGUCCCAGGGGAGAGCAGAGCGGGACCAGGCCCAGCCCGGUGACACAGGGCAGACGGAAGGGCGCUCUCCAAAACAGAAGAGCCCAGGAGCUGCCGCGGCCGGGACAAACCAACCGCAGGCUGACCUAGGCCGGCAAUGGGUUUAACGCAUUGGCUGCAAAAGAGAAACACCCCACAAAUCAGGGAGAGAAGGGAAGCUGCCUACGCCACGGGAGGAGGCUGAGGAGUGAAUGCCGGGGCCGGGCGGGGCCAGUCCUCACAGCACUGUGGAGACCAGACCGAGGGCGACUGUCAUCACCACGAAAAGGCCUCAUCCACGGCAGAAGCCAACCUCACCACACCGACUGCACCAGAGAUGCCCAUGAGGAGAGCCGGCCUCCGAGAACGCGGCUGAGCUGUCACAGGCCACCGUCAGCAAAGGCAAGGACCCAGAUUAUGCAAAGGGAGGCGCGGCUGCCAUGGACUCCAGGGCCUCAGACACCAUCAACAAAAGCAAAGGGGACACAUUUGCAUCAAAUCCAUCACAAAGACGGCCUUCGAGACUCUGGGGGAAGUGAGAACACCGACGCACAGGCCCCCACGGCGCACAGGCCCGCACGGCGCACAGGCCCGCACGGCAACCCUGCUCCGCCUCAGCCUCAGUUCUGGUUCCUGCACCCUGGCCCGGGGGCAGAGCUGACCCGGUCUUGCCAGGGGGGCAGGGGUCCCCUGGCCCCAGGUGGUGCCACAGACAGCGGGGGGAAGCACUCAGGCAGAGUCAGGCACCCCACCAGGAAGGAAAACUCCCACGGCAGGUCCCGGGGCUGGGUGGGACCCUAGGGACCCUGGGUGGCUCCCAUCGGAAUCCUGCUAGAUCUGGGAGGACACUGGUCCUUCCAGAAGCGUAACCACAAACAGCCAUGGAAAACCUGGGUGGGCUGCGUUUCUACAUUUCCUUUUCUUUUUUUUUUUUUUCCAGAUGGAGUCUCACUCUGUCGCCCAGACUGGAGUGCCUUUUCCCCUCACAGCGUGGGAGCCAAUGGGUGAUGUCCCACCCUGGUUUCCCUCCACCCGAAGGCAGUCACCUUGGUCGCCGGCUCCUGCCUCUGCGAUGAUCCCCACGAGGGCUGCAGAGUGGAGGGCACAGCGAGGUUCGGCCUCAUUCCCCAGGGAGCCCCAGACGAGAGCUUGGUCCUGGGGAGCUGCCCAGGUCUUUGCCAUCUCCUGGCCUCCAUCCAGUCCCUCACAACUCGGCUCCUGGCCCUGUGCACCGAGCGAUGACUGCUAGGCCCGUGCGCCUAAGAGUCAGGCCUGUAUUCACUUCAGCUUUUAUUAAGGACUUUCAGGGAUUGGCUUUUUUAAAUCAUCGUCAAAUAUAUUGUUAUUAAAAGGAUAUGUACACUUUGGGA